Molecule: ribosomal RNA, 330 nt
Filed under: uncultured bacterium
Lineage: Bacteria
Description: bacterial SSU rRNA
Rfam family: Bacterial small subunit ribosomal RNA
Source: RNAcentral
UGCGUAGGCGGUUCCGCAAGUCCGCUGUGAAAGCCCCGGGCUUAACCUGGGGAUGGCAGUGGAAACUAUGGGACUUGAAUCUGGCAGAGGGGGGUGGAAUGCCACGUGUAGCAGUGAAAUGCGUAGAUAUGUGGCGGAACACCGAUGGCGAAGGCAGCCCCCCUGGGCUGAGAUUGACGCUCAGGCACGAAAGCGUGGGGAGCAAACAGGAUUAGAUACCCUGGUAGUCCACGCCCUAAACGAUGAUCACUAGGUGUUGGGGAAGCGAUUUCUCAGUACCGCAGCUAACGCGUGAAGUGAUCCGCCUGGGAGUACGGUCGCAAGAUUAAA